Molecule: long non-coding RNA, 1650 nt
Filed under: Marmota monax (woodchuck)
Lineage: Eukaryota; Metazoa; Chordata; Mammalia; Rodentia; Sciuridae
Source: RNAcentral
AAUCCAGGCAAGAGAGCCCAAGAGCCCGCCACGCGCCUGCAAGUGAGAGCACUGUGCCGCUCCUUCCUCCGCCAGGGGUGGGGUAGCUGGGAGGGACAAGCCUUUCACCUCCCAGCACACAGGGAGUGGUCUGGGGGUCCACUGAGCAGGUGCCCCCCCUAAACCAGUACAUGACUAGUUUGACGCCAGCCAGACCCAAUGUAAAGCAACAUGUUCAUCACCAAGAUGGGCCUUCAUCAAACCUGCUGCCCAUUUAUGAAAUCACAUGCUAAGCCCCAGACUCCAUAGCACCCAAAUAUGAAUGCCUGACUGCUUGGGGCUCAUGGAUAAUAGCUGAGACUUUCCCUCAGGCAAUGUCUUGUUCUUGGUGCUGGGCUAGUCAGCUUUUCAUUACUGUAACAAAAUCAAGUGGUAAGCAGAAAGGGAUUAUUUUGGCUCAUUUUUGUUUUUUUGGCUUAUUUUGGUUUUGGAGGUUUUAGUCCAGAUCACUCCAUUGUUCUGGGCCUGUGGCGAUCGAGGCAGCAAACCAUGGCAACAGUGCAUGUCACAGCAGAGCCAGGAAUCAAGAAGGGCAGGGGACCAGGGCCCACAUCCUCUUCCAGGGCAUGUCCCCAGUGAUGUACAACCUCCUCAUUAGGUCCUGCAUCUUUAGCUUCCACCAACUCCCAAUAGAGUGCCAAGUUUGGGACCAAGUCUUGAGCACAUGGACUUUGAGAACAGGCAGAUCCAAACUGCAGCAGCACACCUCUCCUCACUCUCCCCAGUGGAAACCUACCGCUCCAUCCUCCCUGGCUUCAGUCCAGGCCGGCCAGGGUAGCCAGCCAUUAAUGGGUGUUAAUUUUCACCUCUUUCCUGCUGGUAAGUUUCAUAUGCUCUGGGGUGAACUUUAAAACAUUUACAUAAACUUGCAAACACAUAAAAAAGCAGAGAGAGUAGUAUAAUGCAUGCCAUGUGUCAAUCACCAGCUUUGACAGUCAACACGUGACCUCUCACCCCAACUCGGGACGAUUUUGAAGUAUGAUCCUAGACAUCAGUUCAUUUCAUCUGUAGUUUUCAGCACAUGUCUCUGAAAGAUAAGGACUUUAAAAAUAACCUCAAUACCAUUCAUAUCUAAAAAAUUAAUAACGGGGGCUGGGGUAUAGCUCAGUUGGUAGAGAACUUGCCUCGCAUGCGCAAGGCCCUGGGGGUUCUAAUCCCCAGCACCACACAAAAAAAUAAAUAAAUAAAAAAUAAUGGUUGCUCCACCCCUUCAAAUAAUCAUUCUUCACAUUUCCGAGUGAUUCAGGUUGUUUUUUCUUUGCUUGAAUUAGGUGUCCUUCAGUCUGUAAGCAGGGUUCUCACACUGCAGCAUGGAUAGUUAGAGAGGAGACCACUGGAUUGUCCCUUCUGUGGACUCCUCAGUCUGGGUUUUCUAGAAUGUGUCUUACAGUGUCUUUUAACAUGUUCUCUGUUUUGUAUAAACCAGUGGUUAUACCUAGAGAUCUAACUAGAUCCAAGUGAGCUUAGAUGUGUCAAACCCAUUUCAUUGGUGGCAACAGGUCCUUCCAGCAGGAGGCACCCACUGUCCCUCUUUCUGAUGUCAUCAGCCUUAAGAAUUAUUGCGCAGCCCUUACUUUAGGGUCCAGUGAUGUUCUAGUGCUACUUUCCUCA